AACAACUAAACUCAUGGACAGAGAGUUCUAUUCUUAGUUUCAUACAUAUCUUUAUUAAGACAGUCGUGCUCAGUCUUGUUUUAACCACAACUUAAAGUGUUACAAAAGUGCAAUGAUUUUGUGGAUUUAACCUUGUUUUCUAGUUCAAAAAGUACAGAUGAAGUUCUAACGUUUGACGAACGCGCAUGAGCAGUAGAUAUAAAAUUGUUGCUAUCUCAUGCCUGCUAGGAUCGAACAGGGUCAUAGGUGACUAGAUUGGAGUUGGUCAGCUAAGCCGAAGAGCGGUCUCGAGUCUCGAGGAUGAGCCAGUUUCCCUACCAAGCCGACACCGGUUUCAGACCGGUCGAGCCCUGCCUACCUCAGCAACGCGGUCCGGACUAUUGUGAGUUUGAUGACGAGGACGAGAUGGUGACAACGGAGCGCGAGUUGGCGGAGGACGCACAAUGGAAGAAAAUUCAACAAAAUACAUUCACGAGAUGGGCCAACGAACAUUUGAAAACGGUGUCGAAACACAUUGGAAAUUUGGAAACGGACCUCAGUGAUGGACUUCGCCUCAUCACGCUGAUCGAAGUGCUGUCUGGAAAAAGACUGCCGAAACACAACAAGAAAACUUCGUUCCGGUCGCAAAAACUCGAAAAUGUGUCUGUGGCCCUCAAGUUCCUGCAGGACGACGAAGGAAUUAGGAUUGUCAAUAUCGGUGAGUUGAAUAUUUUUAC
Molecule: unclassified non-coding RNA, 716 nt
Organism: Leptinotarsa decemlineata (Colorado potato beetle)
Lineage: Eukaryota; Metazoa; Arthropoda; Insecta; Coleoptera; Chrysomelidae
Source: RefSeq, a predicted model, not a curated record